This is a long non-coding RNA of Aotus nancymaae (Ma's night monkey), 4958 nucleotides long. The record is from Ensembl. NCBI's taxonomy places the organism in Eukaryota, Metazoa, Chordata, Mammalia, Primates, Aotidae.
GGAGGGAACUCCUCAGGAGCGCCCUGUCCGGGGUGCCCUCUGCGCUCUGCAGUGUCUUUCUUUCUGCCUGGGAGGAGGAGGAAGAGGAGGAGGAGGAGGAGGAAGAGGAGGAGGAGGAGGAGAAGGACGUCUGGUCCCGGCUGGGAGGUGGAGCAGCGGCAGCAGCAGCAGCCGCCGCCGAGGCAGCCGCAGCCGCCGCCGCCGGAAAGGGAGAGGCAGGAGAGACCGAGACUUGGAAACCCCAAAGUGUCCGCGACCCUGCACGGCAGGCUCCCUUCCAGCUUCAUGGGCAAAGUGUGGAAACAGCAGAUGUACCCUCAGUACGCCACCUACUACUACCCUCAGUAUCUGCAAGCGAAGAAAGCAAAAAGCAGAUGCCUCUUCAAAGUUACGAUCAGAAGCAGGGCAUUCACCUUGACUACAUUGCUUUGGGAAAGGACAACCAUUGGGGGAGGAGUGGAGCCGUCACCUACUUCAGGGAGCGUCUACCUUCUGUGGGCCCAAAGCAGUCUCUGGUCCCAGCCCACCCCAUGGCCCCUCCCAGUCCCAGCACCACCAGCAGUAAUAACAACAGUAGCAGCAGUAGCAACUCAGGAUGGGAUCAGCUCAGCAAAACAAACCUCUACAUCCGAGGACUGCCUCCCCACACCACCGACCAGGACCUGGUGAAGCUCUGUCAACCGUAAGUAGCAGUUGUUCUUGUUAUUUUAGCUGCUCAGUAUUUUCUUGAUCAUAUUAUAGAGUGAUAUAUACUGCAUUAUAAGAGAAGUUCAUAGGAGAUAUCUGUGGACUCUCAGUAUCGCAACAAUAAAAUGGGUUUCAAGUGUUAACUUCUUGAAUACUUAUUCAGUCAAUAUUAACAUCAUCAGACUGGCUACAUAUCAAAAUGAAUUGGAGCAUUUUCUUAAUAGAAUUUGACUUUAUGGGCAUAUGAAAAGUAAAAUGUGAAUUUUUGGAAAAAAUGUAUGGCUCGAUAUUUUUUUAAAAGUUUUCAUUUUUUGUGGAUGCACCUCUGAGGGCCGGUCUAUCCUAUGAGAAGAACUUUAGCUAGCAUUGUUUGUAACAAAGGUUAUUAACCAUCUUACCUCAUCCUGAAUAUAAGCUCUUAAUUCCAGCUGGGACCAUAUUAGUCUGUUCCCAUUAGCAUCCAUAGUUUUGUGGUCUGGGUCGUUCAACCUCAUCUCUUUAGGAAUAAGAACUCAAUUCUACCCAUUCAGUGUGUUAUGAAGAAAUGUGUGCAUGUGCAUAAAGUUCCAAAGUAAAUUUGCAUUAUAUGCUAAUGUUGUCAAUGAAUAGUAAAUUUGCAUUAUAUGCUAAUAUUGUCAAUGAAUAGAAGAUAAAUGUGCUGCUUUGCUGCAAUUACAUUAACUCACUAAGAAAGCACUAAUUUAAAAGAAGCAGCCAGAAGCACUGUAUAGUGCAAAGAUCAUUGUGUAAGGACUGAAAGCAUCAAAUUGCAUCAAGCUAUAAAAGCCUACACAUAUAACAGCACUUUUUAUUUAUUCUAAGACAAUAAUGGUCCCUUAUAAAGAUAAUUUUGCAUAACUGCAGUUGAAAACUUUUGCUAGAGAAUGUUUCCUAUUCCCUGAAUUUCAAAACAUCUGACUGAUAACAUCUCAUUUCUCUUGUCAUGUGUAAAAUCCAGAUUCAUUACUUUUUUUUUUUUUUCAAGAAAAAAAAAUUCAAAGCUAACUUGGUCAGUUAUUUCCAAACUGGAACUAAAAGUAACAUCUGGCCUUUCAUGGAUAGGGGAGGGGGUGAUGGUUGUUUUGCUGUCUUUUGUUUUGAAAGAGGAGGGUUGGGACAGUAGGUGGUGGCUCUUUAAGAUCUGGAGAGCUUUCUAGAAGGCCAUCCCCUCUCAGCACUCUCCCUGUGCCUUUUCCAUGUCCCUGUUUUUGACCAGCCCUUGUGGACUUUGACUCCGGUCCCUGGCUUUUGGGGCAGUGAAAUAAUGUACUGCACUAGGGACUGCUCUGAAGCAAGCCCAGCUCUUGGGGUUUGUCAUUGCUGGCCGGAGGCAGAGGGAACCCUGCCAGGCACGCCCUGCCCUAUUGCAGCUGUUCAAGACCACAAAUAGGCCUUUGCUAUCUCCUCUGAUGCUGGCCUUUCAGUGGCGUCAUAUUAUGUUUUUGCAGUGUAAUUACAGGUAGAUAGAGUGCCAUAAAGUCUAAGGAACUAAAAAUAUGACUGUAAGAAACAGAAGAAUGAAGCUAACUCUCAAAUUCAUGAGGUGUAAGAGAAGGGGAGAGGAAUUCAAAAGACAAAUUGUUCUCCAGCUAGCGUUGAAUUAUGUAGGGUGAGUUUUGAUGUCGAAACAAUUAACUGUAAGAUACUGGAGUAACACCAUGUUUCAUAUACAGUAAAUAAGUACUUGAAAAAUUGAGCCAGUAAUUUUUUUAUUGAACCAAAUCAUAUUCCAAAUGUGGAAGAACGUUUUAUCAUUUUUUCUAGAAUAUUCGUUUCCUUUUUGCUGUUCUCUUUGACAUAUAUGGAUUUUCUUAACAUGUGUAAACAUUAUUCUCCUUGCUGUCAUCAAUAUUAGCAAUAACAUUGCAACCCUCCCUCUCUCCCAUCACUUGCAAAGGAAGGCUAUUGUAAAAUUCCAGGUUACGUACUGAAGUCUGAUAAUAGUCUUCUUGAUAUGUACCAUACAGAGGCAAAACAUAAUAAUAGAGGACUCUAUCUCAGAAUUUGCUGGAACCUUUAUUCCAUUUAACACAGAGAAUGUAGUAAAUACCAAAUUUGACUUGCUGAGAGUUUCAUGUCUUAGAAUGUAAAAAAGCACAAAAGAGCAUCCCUGUUCUGGGCUUAAUUGUUUCCCAUAAAGAAGAGCUAGUUGGUGACAUAGAAGUGACAAGAACCUUUUGGGAAAGUAACUCAUCCUAGAGCUUACAAGCCCAGUGGACAUAGAGAUUUUAGAAAAGUAGGUAUCAGAAACUUCUCAGAAAAAAAAAGAUAUAAAUCCAUACCUCUAAAAAAGAAAAGAAACCCUUAGAACUAAAACUUAGCACUAAAACUUAGCACUAUAAUUACAAAUUGACCUGAUGAGGCUGAAUUGAGAGGGAAAGGAAGGAAACAAAUGAUUUGGCUCUCCAGGGGGCUUAGAUGUUUUAGACCAUUAUUUAACAGAAAGAUGGGACAAGCCAGGAAUGUUUAUGAUGGUGGCCCAAUUCCAUACAAACAGCGCAUGAAGUCCAAAGGCGAGUAUUACAUGAAGAUUUUAAAAACUGGAGAGGAAAACAAAAUAUAUUUUUUAAAAACUGCGUCUGAAGUAGAACAUAAGUAUGCUGUAAUGUUAGAGGAGGUUACAGUGGAAAAGCAAAUGUGAUGUUGAGAUGACAGGGAAAGGCAGCCCCACCCAGACUCAAAAGAGGGAGUCAUGACCAACCUUGGAAAGUGUAGAUCACCAUGACUAAGAGGAGGAGGCAUGUGGGGUAGGGGCUCAGACCAGAAGCCAACCAGCCUAAGUUCCUGACACAGGGUGGUGAUGGUGGUAAGUCAGGUAAUCUGAAUUGAAAAGAGAUAAAUUUUCUAGAAGCAUUUAAUGAAAGACGUCAGCCAGCUCUGGUUAACUUCUAAAUUGUAAAACACAUACGAAAAAUCUUGGAAACUUGACUGCUGUAGGCUGCUGCAGCUUUGCUCCCUAUGUUUAAGAGGUUAUCUAUUCACAAAGAAUAUAUCAGUACAGUUAACCAGCAAGUACUGGAAAUGGAACAAUCCAGGUAACCCAAAGGAUUCAUCUGCUAUCCCUUGGCUUAAUUCUCUUCCUUCUCUGAAAUCAAGCCAAACAAACACCAUGCCUGACUCUGCUUAUCUGUGUGCUAUUUGUCAUAUAAAUAUUUGCCAAUGCAAUAUUUCUCUCAUUCAGACUUCUCAGGCAGACUUUUUAGUUGGAUGAAUUGAGGGCUCCUGUUGCGUCCAUUUUCUUGACAUCUUAGCCAUUUUUAUUUUGCCUUCAGACUUUCAACUGAAACUGCACUAGCAUCUUAAAUAUCCUCUUAUUUUCCCUAGCUUUUUUUCACUCUCAUCUCUCUCCUCCUCGACUCUCUGCCCUUCUGGUUUCUGUUGUCUUGGCUGGCUCCUCUGUAGCCCCCUCCUCUGAUAGGUUUAUUCUCCACUGUUUCUACUUUCCUGCACAUUUUCCACUUGAAUAUUUUAUUUUUACCUCAAGUUCAAAAUAUCCUGUCUCUCAACACUGUCACUUUUCCAAAUUUACUUUCCUAAACGUGAAGCUUUAGGAGUCAGCAGCUCCUUCCCUUUGUCCCUUAGUCACUAAGUUUUGUGGAUUCUUCUUUGGCCCUUCUUCUUCCUUCUUCUCCCUGCCAGAAGAACAGGGUGACUCUCCCUCUCUGCAGUGUGACAGGAGAACCAUUUGCUCUUCUGCUACCUCCCCUCUGGGGCCUCCCCUCCCCGCCUCAGUUCAGCAAGGCCAAGUCCAAACUCUCUCUGCCUCCUUUAUGCUUGGACCACACCAGUAACUCUCCUCUUUGUUUUUUAAUUUUUACCUAUUGCCAGCUCAUAAUCAGCAUCUUACUUUCAUAGGGUUCUGAUCUCAAAGUGCCUGUUACGUUACUUAGCCGUAUGUCUGUGACAGUGUAUGAUGCUAGAAACGUAUCUUCUCAUACAGAUUUGUCACCCGGACUACAAAGAAUUGUAGUCAGGAUUACUAGGUUUGGUAUCCCAGAGUUACCUCAAAGUGCUAGGCAAGUACUGAAUUCUCAGUCAGACUGUAAAAUAGGUCAAAUAAUGCUAUUAUCAAAAAUUCUGAUAAGCAUUAAAUCAAAUAAUGUAAGUAAAAGAGCUGGCCCAGAACCUAGAACACAAUUGUCACUGAACAAGUGUUAGUAUCCCUAGUUUCUUCCAUCCUUGAAAUUCUAGCUACUAGAAUAAGCUUAACUUAUAUUCAAUUCUACAUUUAAAACAAAGGAGGAAAAAGACCCAUCAGAUUUUGAUUCUGA